This 444-nucleotide ribosomal RNA is filed under the name uncultured bacterium. RNAcentral describes it as "partial 16S ribosomal RNA". It matches the Rfam family "Bacterial small subunit ribosomal RNA", at positions 354 to 796 of the family's 1533-position model. The record is from RNAcentral.
GUAGGGAAUAUUGGGCAAUGGUCGGAAGACUGACCCAGCCAUGCCGCGUGCAGGAAGACGGCCCUCUGGGUUGUAAACUGCUUUUAUCUGGGAAGAAAAAGGACAUGCGUGGCAAAUUGCCGGUACCAGAUGAAUAAGCACCGGCUAACUCCGUGCCAGCAGCCGCGGUAAUACGGAGGGUGCGAGCGUUGUCCGGAUUUAUUGGGUUUAAAGGGUGCGUAGGCGGCUGAUUAAGGCAGCGGUGAAAGACUUCGGCUUAACCGGAGCAGUGCCGUUGAUACUGGUUGGCUUGAGUGUCGGAGGGGUACAUGGAAUUGAUGGUGUAGCGGUGAAAUGCAUAGAUACCAUCAGGAACACCGAUAGCGAAGGCAUUGUACUGGCCGACAACUGACGCUGAUGCACGAAAGUGUGGGGAUCGAACAGGAUUAGAAACCCCUGUAGUCC